This 465-nucleotide ribosomal RNA is filed under the name uncultured bacterium. RNAcentral describes it as "partial 16S ribosomal RNA". It matches the Rfam family "Bacterial small subunit ribosomal RNA", at positions 28 to 507 of the family's 1533-position model. The record is from RNAcentral.
GACGAACGCUGGCGGCGUGCUUAACACAUGCAAGUCGAACGGAAAGGCCCUGCUUGCGGUGUACUCGCGUGGCGAACGGGUGAGUAACACGUGGGUGAUCUGCCCUGCACUUCGGGAUAAGCCUGGGAAACUGGGUCUAAUACCGGAUAGGAGAUAUUUUUAGUGUGAUGGUUGGAUAGUUUUUUCGGUGUAGGAUGAGCUCGCGGCCUAUCAGCUUGUUGGUGGGGUAAUGGCCUACCGAGGCGGCGGCGGGUAGCAGGCCUGAGAGGCUGGCCCGCCACCUUGGGACCUACGGAAGGCCCCGACUCCGACGGGUGCCAGCAGGGCGGAAUAUUGCACGAGCGGCGCCAGGCUAAUGCAGCGGCGCCUCGUGGCGUAUGACGCUCUUCUUGUUGUAAACCCCUUUCGCAAGGGACGAAGCUUUUUGUGACGGUACCUAGAUAAGAAGCACCGGCUAACUACGUG